This 440-nucleotide ribosomal RNA is filed under the name uncultured bacterium. RNAcentral's name for it is "bacterial SSU rRNA". It matches the Rfam family "Bacterial small subunit ribosomal RNA", at positions 338 to 790 of the family's 1533-position model. The record is from RNAcentral.
CCUACGGGAGGCAGCAGUGGGGAAUCUUGGACAAUGGGCGAAAGCCUGAUCCAGCGACGCCGCGUGGGGGAUGAAGGCCCUCGGGUUGUAAACCCCUUUCGGCAGGGACGAAGCGAAAGUGACGGUACCUGCAGAAGAAGCCCCGGCCAACUACGUGCCAGCAGCCGCGGUAAGACGUAGGGGGCGAGCGUUACCCGGAUUUACUGGGCGUAAAGCGCGCGCAGGCGGCCGCGUAAGUCGGAUGUGAAAUCCCUCGGCUCAACCGAGGAAUUGCACCCGAUACUGUGCGGCUAGAGGCAGGUAGGGGCGAGUGGAAUUCCCGGUGUAGCGGUGAAAUGCGCAGAUAUCGGGAGGAAUACCGGUGGCGAAGGCGGCUCGCUGGGCCUGUCCUGACGCUCAGGCGCGAAAGCUGGGGGAGCGAACGGGAUUAGAUACCCUUG